UUCUUUUCUUCACAUACCCCAACUAAGGAGGUUGGGGUCAGAGUGCUGGGGCAGCUAUGAUACAGCACAACCUGGAGCAGGGAGGGUUGAGGGCCUUGCUCAGGGGCCCAGCAGUGGCAGAUUGGCUCUGAUUGGAUCCUCCGACCAGUUGUGCCACCACUGCCCCAAUGAGCUUCUGACUACCAUUCCAUGCAUUAAUUUCUCUCUCAAGUAAUGUUUCUUGCUGUUUCAUAGUUUGCUCCACUAGGGAUCCUCAUACGAAUCCAAAGUUCAAACUGAAGUAAACUUUCACUCUGUGGA
Long non-coding RNA from Tachysurus fulvidraco (yellow catfish), 300 nucleotides. RefSeq lists it as uncharacterized. Lineage: Eukaryota; Metazoa; Chordata; Actinopteri; Siluriformes; Bagridae. The transcript is spliced from 2 exons. The record is from RefSeq and is a predicted model, not a curated record.